RNAcentral lists this ribosomal RNA (715 nucleotides) under Salmonella enterica. RNAcentral describes it as "partial 23S ribosomal RNA". It matches the Rfam family "Bacterial large subunit ribosomal RNA", at positions 1 to 749 of the family's 2925-position model. Lineage: Bacteria; Pseudomonadati; Pseudomonadota; Gammaproteobacteria; Enterobacterales; Enterobacteriaceae. The record is from RNAcentral.
GGGUUGUGAGGUUAAGCGACUAAGCGUACACGGUGGAUGCCCUGGCAGUCAGAGGCGAUGAAGGACGUGCUAAUCUGCGAUAAGCGCCGGUAAGGUGAUAUGAACCGUUAUAACCGGCGAUUUCCGAAUGGGGAAACCCAGUGUGAUUCGUCACACUAUCAUUAACUGAAUCCAUAGGUUAAUGAGGCGAACCGGGGGAACUGAAACAUCUAAGUACCCCGAGGAAAAGAAAUCAACCGAGAUUCCCCCAGUAGCGGCGAGCGAACGGGGAGGAGCCCAGAGCCUGAAUCAGCAUGUGUGUUAGUGGAAGCGUCUGGAAAGGCGCGCGAUACAGGGUGACAGCCCCGUACACAAAAGCGCAUAUGCUGUGAGCUCGAUGAGUAGGGCGGGACACGUGGUAUCCUGUCUGAAUAUGGGGGGACCAUCCUCCAAGGCUAAAUACUCCUGACUGACCGAUAGUGAACCAGUACCGUGAGGGAAAGGCGAAAAGAACCCCGGCGAGGGGAGUGAAAAAGAACCUGAAACCGUGUACGUACAAGCAGUGGGAGCACCCUUUGGGGUGUGACUGCGUACCUUUUGUAUAAUGGGUCAGCGACUUAUAUUCUGUAGCAAGGUUAACCGAAUAGGGGAGCCGAAGGGAAACCGAGUCUUAAUUGGGCGUUAAGUUGCAGGGUAUAGACCCGAAACCCGGUGAUCUAGCCAUGGGCAGGUUGAA